This is a non-coding RNA of Paramuricea clavata, 268 nucleotides long. Lineage: Eukaryota; Metazoa; Cnidaria; Anthozoa; Malacalcyonacea; Plexauridae. The record is from the annotation of a GenBank genome assembly.
GGAAAACAAGGUUGAAACGAUGCCGAAGUGAAAGCAGAAUAUCAGCGUGUGUAAACAAAAAGGUAAGAGUUUUAUUAUGUUAUAAAGUCCACUAGGCCUGUCCUUUCAUAUGAUCCAGUUAAAACCUCCCAAAUAGUUGCUAAUGAGGGUAACUUUUUCGAUUGAUUGUGUUGUGCACAAAUAUGAACGUUUAGUUUUUAGACGUAUUCCACAUUGACACUUUGACAGUUUAAUUAACCUAUGAAAUGCUUAGCUCUAUAAAAUCCAG